This 253-nucleotide ribosomal RNA is filed under the name uncultured bacterium. RNAcentral's name for it is "partial 16S ribosomal RNA". It matches the Rfam family "Bacterial small subunit ribosomal RNA", at positions 524 to 776 of the family's 1533-position model. The record is from RNAcentral.
UACGAAGGGGGCAAGCGUUGUUCGGAAUUACUGGGCGUAAAGGGCGCGUAGGCGGCUUAUCAAGUCAGGCGUGAAAUUCCCGGGCUCAACCUGGGGGCUGCGCUUGAUACUGAUGAGCUUGAAUGCGGGAGAGGAUAGUGGAAUUCCCAGUGUAGAGGUGAAAUUCGUAGAUAUUGGGAAGAACACCCGUGGCGAAGGCGGUUCUCUGGGACGGUACUGACGCUGAGACGCGAAAGCGUGGGGAGCGAACAGG